This is a long non-coding RNA of Odocoileus virginianus texanus, 1057 nucleotides long. RefSeq lists it as uncharacterized. NCBI's taxonomy places the organism in Eukaryota, Metazoa, Chordata, Mammalia, Artiodactyla, Cervidae. The record is from RefSeq and is a predicted model, not a curated record.
AUUUUCGAUCUGCUCGAUCGAUGGGGCGGCUCGAUCGGGCUGGGCCUUCUGUCUUCCGGCCGACGCACGCGUAGGCUGACUGGCGGAUGUGGCUCUCUGCCGCUUAUUUCGUUCGCUUAGACGCAUCGGCUCUGUGGUGGGGACUUUUGAAUUUUGUCAGUUUUGUCCUUGAGUUUUGCCACGGCUUCCAAGAGUAGCUUCCUUGUAAAUCUUCUAGAGCUCCCCACGAUGUCAGCCAGGUGGGCAGCCCUUUUUUUCCGAUGCCGAACUCCUGCCUUCAUCCUCCAAAUCUGUGGCUGAACUUGGGCUCAGAAUUGGGCGCUGUGGCAUCUCUGGGGACUUGAAGACGUUCACUCUUCUGAACCUAUUCCAAGCUGCACUGCCGAGAUGAAAGUUAAAUCGCUUCAGGAAUCUUGAUGAAGAAGGAGGAGACAGGCUACCAAAAAUCCCUUCCAAAAUAUAUGUAUAUUUUUGGUCACCCUACAACAUCAUCCAGGGAUCUUUGACAACUUAAGAAAACAGUUUAACAACAGUUAGAAAUUAACUUCCUGAGAUGAAUAAGGAAACAUAUUUAGAAAGGCUAGAAAGCAAUAUGUAUUAGAAAAUGCAAGGCAAGGUUUAGAACAUGUAAAAACACGCAAUCACUCAUCUCAAGGUGAUUCUCAUACUUCACAAAAAAUUACAAAGGAAAAAGGAAAAAAAAAUAGUAAGAAAAAUAUGUGUCUCCAAGCCUAUGUACUUUAUCCUUACUUGAAAUCUGGAAUGACUCUUAGGCCUUUGCCUGGGGCCUUUGGACUGAGAAUUGUGAAAUAAUGCAGCUCAUUCCUAGAAGCUUUAUCGUUUGGUUUCUCAGGCAGAUCAAAUGCCAACGGGUGUGAGCAAGCACAAGCCAAGAACAGUCAGACAGAUAAUAGCCAGACAGACAAGGACCCGACAUACUUAAAGGACACUCGAAGAACUAGAGAAACAUAAUUGGGGCUAUUUAGUGAAGUCAUUACAUGUAUCAGUGUCUUAAAGUGGACAUUGGCUAUAAAUAAAGAAAAUAAUGAUUCUUGCA